This 465-nucleotide ribosomal RNA is filed under the name Vreelandella stevensii. Its description in RNAcentral is "partial 16S ribosomal RNA". It matches the Rfam family "Bacterial small subunit ribosomal RNA", at positions 338 to 795 of the family's 1533-position model. Lineage: Bacteria; Pseudomonadati; Pseudomonadota; Gammaproteobacteria; Oceanospirillales; Halomonadaceae. The record is from RNAcentral.
CCUACGGGGUGCAGCAGUGGGGAAUAUUGGACAAUGGGCGAAAGCCUGAUCCAGCCAUGCCGCGUGUGUGAAGAAGGCCUUCGGGUUGUAAAGCACUUUCAGUGGGGAAGAAAGCCUUGGGGCUAAUACCCUCGAGGAAGGACAUCACCCACAGAAGAAGCACCGGCUAACUCCGUGCCAGCAGCCGCGGUAAUACGAAGGGUGCGAGCGUUAAUCGGAAUUACUGGGCGUAAAGCGCGCGUAGGCGGUCUGAUAAGCCGGUUGUGAAAGCCCCGGGCUCAACCUGGGAACGGCAUCCGGAACUGUCAGGCUAGAGUGCAGGAGAGGAAGGUAGAAUUCCCGGUGUAGCGGUGAAAUGCGUAGAGAUCGGGAGGAAUACCAGUGGCGAAGGCGGCCUUCUGGACUGACACUGACGCUGAGGUGCGAAAGCGUGGGUAGCAAACAGGAUUAGAUACCCGAGUAGUC